This 929-nucleotide long non-coding RNA is filed under the name Malus domestica (apple). Its description in RNAcentral is "long non-coding RNA (MDOM_LNC006616)". Lineage: Eukaryota; Viridiplantae; Streptophyta; Magnoliopsida; Rosales; Rosaceae. The record is from RNAcentral.
CUAGCUAGGAAGUUCUUCUCCACACAUGACACACUUGCAAACAAAACGAUUUCCAGUUGCUUUUCAAUAAACUACGAAUUCUCAACGCCCCAGAUUAACUAUGAAUUGCACUAAUUAACCCUCAGAUUUUCCUAAUUUCAUUGAAUUGGAUGAUUGCAUACAACAACCCAAAACAUUCCCCACAGGUUCCCUACAUGAAUUGCAUAAUAGAGAUACAAGCAAGAAUCAUUAAGUUCUAUGAAAAUCAUAAGCAUUAACGAGACACUUGUAACUAUGAAUUGCAUGAAACUUAUGCCAAGAAUUUACUUAACACGGUUGUGACGAGCAACCUUCACUACUUGUGAAUAUAAGUUCAUAACGAUUAGGUGAAACUCUCUUAUAUCCUAGCAUCAGAUUUAGGCAUGAAAAUUAAUCGUGCACUCUCAACCAACAUACACAAAUCAGUUUUAAUUCAAAUGGAUAAGUAAAUUGAAAUCACAAUUUAUGAAUCACAACUGAAAGUAAUCAAAUCAUAUUGCAAGCAUGAACAUGGUUUCGAAUUCCCCCUACAUAAGGGGGGUUUAGUUCCUCAUACUCACAAAGCAAAGAUAAACAAAUUUAGGCAUUGAAAACAAAAGAAUGAAAACACCUAAAAACGCUUCAACAAUCCAACUUGAAUGACAAACACGUCCAAGGUCCUCCUUCUUCUCUUUGUUGCGGCACAAUGUGUGGUUUGAUGGAUGCGUAUGGAUAUAUGGAAAGGAAUGGCUGAAUGUGUUUAGGUUGGAUGGAGGUCACGGCAAGGAAAAGGAAAUGAAGGUGCAUGGAAUUGUGUUUUUGUUGUGGGAAUAUGUAGAAUGGUUAAGAAGAAAAGACUCUGCCUUGCGGCAGAAUGUGUCUUCCUCCAUUCUCCUUAAACUGUCUGUGUGAAUGUGUCUUUGGAUGGAUCU